This 76-nucleotide transfer RNA is filed under the name Herbivorax alkaliphila. RNAcentral describes it as "tRNA-Lys". It matches the Rfam family "tRNA". From Rfam's summary of the family: Transfer RNA (tRNA) molecules are approximately 80 nucleotides in length. Their secondary structure includes four short double-helical elements and three loops (D, anti-codon, and T loops). Further hydrogen bonds mediate the characteristic L-shaped molecular structure. tRNAs have two regions of fundamental functional importance: the anti-codon, which is responsible for specific mRNA codon recognition, and the 3' end, to which the tRNAs corresponding amino acid is attached (by aminoacyl-tRNA synthetases). tRNAs cope with the degeneracy of the genetic code in two manners: having more than one tRNA (with a specific anti-codon) for a particular amino acid; and 'wobble' base-pairing, i.e. permitting non-standard base-pairing at the 3rd anti-codon position. The record is from RNAcentral. Lineage: Bacteria; Bacillati; Bacillota; Clostridia; Acetivibrionales; Acetivibrionaceae.
GGGCCAUUAGCUCAGUCGGUAGAGCACUUGACUUUUAAUCAAGCUGUCGAAGGUUCGAUUCCUUCAUGGCUCACCA